RNAcentral lists this ribosomal RNA (400 nucleotides) under Cunninghamella polymorpha. RNAcentral describes it as "partial 18S ribosomal RNA". The stretch from base 31 to 181 matches the Rfam family "5.8S ribosomal RNA". Lineage: Eukaryota; Fungi; Mucoromycota; Mucoromycetes; Mucorales; Cunninghamellaceae. The record is from RNAcentral.
UUUUUAUUAUAAUUAAACAAAAAAAAAAACAACUUUCAGCAAUGGAUCUCUCGGCUUUCGUAUCGAUGAAGAACGCAGCAAAUCGCGAUAUGUAAUGUGAUCUGCCUAUAGUGAAUCAUCAAAUCUUUGAACGCAUCUUGCACCUUAUGGUAUUCCAUAAGGUACGUCUGUUUCAGUACCACUAAUAAAUCUCUCUCUAUCCCUUGAUGAUAGAAAAAAAAAAAAGAGAUAAAUUAUUACUGGUCCUGGUGAUUCUUUCUCUUUUGAAAAAAUCACUCUCGGCCUAAAUAUAAGGCUCGACUUUUUUUUACCAGAUCUUGCAUCUAGUAAAAACCUAGUCGGCUUUAAUAGAUUUUUAUUUUCUAUUAAGUUUAUAGCCAUUCUUAUAUUUUUUAAAAUC